GCAUCUCCCUUACACCGAGAAGUCGUCCGUGCAAAUCGGACUGCCCUGAUGCCUAACAGCUAGCCUCAAAAAUAAAAAUUUUACUAUUAUGGACCUAAAAACUCAUAAUAAACUUAAACAAAUCAUUUUACCCCCUGAGUACGGGCGACAGAAAAGGAGAAAAGAGCAACAGAUAAAGUACCGCAAGGGAACGCUGAAAAAGAAAUGAAAUAAACCAUUUAAGCACCAAGCAGCAGAGUUUUCUACUCGUACCUUUUGCAUCAUGAUUUAGCAAGAAAACUACAAGCAAAGAGCCCUUUAGUUUGUAACCCCGAAACUGAGCGAGCUACUCCAAGACAGCCUAUAAAGGGCAAACCCGUCUCUGUGGCAAAAGAGUGGGAAGAGCUUUGAGUAGAGGUGACAAACCUACCGAGCCCAGUUAUAGCUGGUUGCCUGUGAAAUGAAUAGGAGUUCAGCCCUUUAAGUCUUUCCCCCCUCAUCCAUGCUUACGCUAAAAUUGAUUAAGGAAACUAAAGGCGUUAAUCAAAAGGGGUACAGCCCUUUUGAUAGAAGAAACAACUU
Molecule: ribosomal RNA, 561 nt
Filed under: Gadus morhua (Atlantic cod)
Lineage: Eukaryota; Metazoa; Chordata; Actinopteri; Gadiformes; Gadidae
Description: partial 12S ribosomal RNA
Rfam family: Bacterial large subunit ribosomal RNA
Source: RNAcentral